CACGUAGGUGCAGUGUAAGUCUCAGGUGAAAUCCCUCGGCUCAACCGAGGAACUGCCUGCGAAACUGCAUUGCUUGAGUCCGGGAGGGGGGAGCGGAAUUCCCAGUGUAGCGGUGAAAUGCGUAGAUACUGGGAGGAACACCGGUGGCGAAGGCGGCUCCCUGGACCGGUACUGACACUGAGGUGCGAAAGCGUGGGUAGCAAACA
This 206-nucleotide ribosomal RNA is filed under the name uncultured bacterium. RNAcentral's name for it is "partial 16S ribosomal RNA". It matches the Rfam family "Bacterial small subunit ribosomal RNA", at positions 568 to 774 of the family's 1533-position model. The record is from RNAcentral.